This 253-nucleotide ribosomal RNA is filed under the name uncultured bacterium. RNAcentral's name for it is "partial 16S ribosomal RNA". It matches the Rfam family "Bacterial small subunit ribosomal RNA", at positions 524 to 776 of the family's 1533-position model. The record is from RNAcentral.
UACGUAGGUGGCAAGCGUUGUCCGGAAUUAUUGGGCGUAAAGCGCGCGCAGGCGGUCCUUUAAGUCUGAUGUGAAAGCCCACGGCUCAACCGUGGAGGGUCAUUGGAAACUGGGGGACUUGAGUGCAGAAGAGGAAAGCGGAAUUCCACGUGUAGCGGUGAAAUGCGUAGAGAUGUGGAGGAACACCAGUGGCGAAGGCGGCUUUCUGGUCUGUAACUGACGCUGGGGCGCGAAAGCGUGGGGAGCAAACAGG